UCGCCCCCGAGGCACCGCUUGCGACACCGGGGCAGAUCCGGCUGGGCACAUCCUGUCCUCUCCCAGCAGAGCUGCAGGAGCCAGCAGCGUCUGUCUGUCUGUCUGUCCGUGCGGGGCUCGGUGUGCUCGGACAGCCAUGGGCACGGCACUCGUGGCCAUCCUGGGGCUGGCAGCGCUGCUGCCCGCGGACGCGCUGCCCUGCGGAGCGCAGCGCCCGGACAGCUCCACGGCAGCCAAGCUGCCGGGGACCUGGCUGUACGUGGCAGGGGCUGCCCAGUUCCCCCAGCACCGCGUGGAGAUGCUGCUCAUCGACCACGCCUUGCUGCGCUUGGAGCCCGGGCCCGGCGGGCAGGAGCUGCUCAUCAGCCACUACGUGGCCGUGGGGGACCAAUGUUUUACCCACAACCUGACCUACCUGGAAGUCACCGCCGGUAACGCCACGCUGGUGAAGCACGCCAAGACCCAGCAAACUGAGGGGAUGCUGAUGAACAUGAGCUCUGAAAACCUUUUACUCAUCCAGUACCAAAUGCAGAGGGACAGGACAUAUUUGGGGCAGUAUCUCUACGCCAGGAACCUGAGCAUCAGCACAGCAGACCGGGAGGAAUUCGAGCAGCACGCUGAGUGCCUGGGGCUGAGGGCGGAGCAGAUCGUGUACGCGCCGUGGAAAACGGAGGUGUGUCAAGUGAAAGCAGCUGAAGGCAGCAAGAGCCCACAGCCAGAGCCCGUGGAUGCAGCCACAGCAUCUCCUGCUCCAGGCACCCCCUGGCCUGGGAGUGCAGGGAACUGACCCCACGCAGGGCAAUAAACUUUUCCUUCAAAUUAGAUACA
This 828-nucleotide long non-coding RNA is filed under the name Serinus canaria (Common canary). Its description in RNAcentral is "lncRNA (ENSSCAG00000006559.1)". Lineage: Eukaryota; Metazoa; Chordata; Aves; Passeriformes; Fringillidae. The record is from RNAcentral.